CACCUACGGGUGGCUGCAGUAGGGAAUAUUGCUUAAUGGGCGAAAGCCUGAAGCAGCAACGCCGCGUGUGCGAUGAAGGCCUUCGGGUUGUAAAGCACUUUUUGAGGGGAUGAGGAAGGACAGUACCCUCAGAAUAAGCCUCGGCUAACUACGUGCCAGCAGCCGCGGUAACACGUAGGAGGCGAGCGUUAUCCGGAUUUACUGGGUGUAAAGCGCGUGCAGGCGGUUCAGAAAGUUGGAUGUGAAAGCUCCUGGCUUAACUGGGAGAGGUCGUUCAAUACUUCUGGACUUGAGUAUGGGAGAGGGAGGUGGAAUUCCGGGUGUAGUGGUGAAAUGCGUAGAUAUCCGGAGGAACACCAGUGGCGAAAGCGGCCUCCUGGCCCAUUUCUGACGCUCAGACGCGAAAGCUAGGGUAGCAAACGGGAUUAGAUACCCCGGUAGUC
RNAcentral lists this ribosomal RNA (443 nucleotides) under uncultured Anaerolineaceae bacterium. Its description in RNAcentral is "bacterial SSU rRNA". It matches the Rfam family "Bacterial small subunit ribosomal RNA", at positions 335 to 795 of the family's 1533-position model. The record is from RNAcentral. Lineage: Bacteria; Bacillati; Chloroflexota; Anaerolineae; Anaerolineales; Anaerolineaceae.